RNAcentral lists this ribosomal RNA (240 nucleotides) under uncultured bacterium. RNAcentral describes it as "partial 16S ribosomal RNA". It matches the Rfam family "Bacterial small subunit ribosomal RNA", at positions 524 to 764 of the family's 1533-position model. The record is from RNAcentral.
UACGGAGGAUGCGAGCGUUAUCCGGAUUUAUUGGGUUUAAAGGGUGCGCAGGCGGAGGCACAAGUCAGCGGUAAAAUCGCGGGGCUCAACCCCGCUCCGCCGUUGAAACUGUGUCCCUUGAGUGCGCGAAGGGUAGGCGGAAUGCGUGGUGUAGCGGUGAAAUGCAUAGAUAUCACGCAGAACUCCGAUCGCGAAGGCAGCCUACCGGCGCGCGACUGACGCUCAUGCACGAAAGCGUGG